RNAcentral lists this ribosomal RNA (249 nucleotides) under uncultured bacterium. RNAcentral's name for it is "partial 16S ribosomal RNA". It matches the Rfam family "Bacterial small subunit ribosomal RNA", at positions 57 to 305 of the family's 1533-position model. The record is from RNAcentral.
GCAAGUCGAGGGGCAGCAUAGUCUUCGGACUGAUGGCGACCGGCGCACGGGUGUGUAACUCGUAUGCAACCUACCCACUCCAGGGGGAUAGCUUUCGGAAACGGAAAUUAAUACCCCAUAACACAUAAGUAUCGCAUGGUACUAAUGUUAAAGAUUUAUCGGUAGUGGAUGGGCAUGCGUAAGAUUAGAUUGUUGGUGAGGUAACGGCUCACCAAGUCUACGAUCUUUAGGGGUUCUGAGAGGAUGAUC